This 467-nucleotide ribosomal RNA is filed under the name Streptococcus gordonii. RNAcentral's name for it is "bacterial SSU rRNA". It matches the Rfam family "Bacterial small subunit ribosomal RNA", at positions 28 to 471 of the family's 1533-position model. Lineage: Bacteria; Bacillati; Bacillota; Bacilli; Lactobacillales; Streptococcaceae. The record is from RNAcentral.
GACGAACGCUGGCGGCGUGCCUAAUACAUGCAAGUAGAACGCACAGUUUAUACCGUAGCUUGCUACACCAUAAACUGUGAGUUGCGAACGGGUGAGUAACGCAUAGGUAACCUGCCUGGUAGCGGGGGGUAACUAUUGGAAACGAUAGCUAAUACCGCAUAAUAUUGAUUAUUGCAUGAUAAUUGAUUGAAAGAUGCUAUUGCAUCACUACCAGAUGGACCUGCGUUGUAUUAGCUAGUAGGUGAGGUAACGGCUCACCUAGGCGACGAUACAUAGCCGACCUGAGAGGGUGAUCGGCCACACUGGGACUGAGACACGGCCCAGACUCCUACGGGAGGCAGCAGUAGGGAAUCUUCGGCAAUGGACGAAAGUCUGACCGAGCAACGCCGCGUGAGUGAAGAAGGUUUUCGGAUCGUAAAGCUCUGUUGUAAGAGAAGAACGGGUGUGAGAGUGGAAAGUUCACACUG